Long non-coding RNA from Diabrotica virgifera virgifera (western corn rootworm), 452 nucleotides. RefSeq lists it as uncharacterized. The record is from RefSeq and is a predicted model, not a curated record. NCBI's taxonomy places the organism in Eukaryota, Metazoa, Arthropoda, Insecta, Coleoptera, Chrysomelidae. The transcript has 3 exons.
UUUAGACAAAUUUCACAUUUGUGAGGUUUUUCUCCAGUGUGAGUCAUCAAAUGUAAUUUCAAAUGACCGGCUUGAGUAAAUUGCUUUAAACAAAUUUUACAUUUGUGAGGUUUUUCUCCAGUGUGAGUCAUCAAAUGUAAUUUCAAAUGACCGGCUUGAGUAAACUGCUUUAAACAAAUUUUACAUUUGUGAGGUUUUUCUCCAGUGUGAGUCAUCAAAUGUGACUUUAAAGAACUGGCGCGAGUAAACUGCUUUAAACAAAUUUCACAUUCGUGGGGUUUUUCUUCAGUGUGAGUCAUUAAAUGUGAUUUCAAAUGAGCCGCUUUAGUAAACUGCUUUAAACAAAUUUCACAUUUGUGAGAUUUUUUUCCAGUGUGAGUCAUCAAAUGUGAUUUCAAAUUACUGGCUUGAGUAAACUGCUUUAAACAAAUUUCACAUUUGUGAGGUUUUUC